RNAcentral lists this long non-coding RNA (1621 nucleotides) under Lynx pardinus (Iberian lynx). The stretch from base 1 to 134 matches the Rfam family "Prostate androgen-regulated transcript 1 conserved region 2", at positions 116 to 249 of the family's 249-position model. The record is from RNAcentral. Lineage: Eukaryota; Metazoa; Chordata; Mammalia; Carnivora; Felidae.
AGAUGAGAUAUUCCACACAAUAAUGUGCUUAUGUGGAAUCACAUUUCCCUGCAAGGCCAGAGAAAAAUCACAGCUUCGCUGUCGGAGGGAAGGAGAACAGAUGACCUGGAAGAAUGUGACUAGAUCUGGAGCAAGAUCUUGUCUGGCAUGGCAAUCCCAACCGUGCCUGCGUUAAGGGACCAAGCUACCCCCAGAAGUCCAAGGGCAACUACAGCAGCAAAGCCGGAGGUAAUUCUCAUCUUUUUACAUACAGGAGGAGUAAUGCUGAGUCAAAAUCAUAUACAUGAAGUCACUCGGGCAGUUAGGUGUGCUUCAAUUUCAUUUUACCUUCUUCCACUCUUGUCUUUUGUAUGGUCAUUUGCUAUUAAGUAAGUAGGAGUAGGGGGAGGUUUCAUGUACCUGAAACACACUUGAAACCAAAAUGAUCAUUUGUGGAGGAAAGGAAAUCAUGUUUUCAGAACUGUUUUACAGGUACCUUUUCAGAUGGGCAGCCUUCCCCCCCCCCACCCACCCACCCAUAGAAACAAGAAUAAAGGGUACAGAGGCAGGUAGGACAGGAGAUGCAUUUCAUGAGCACGAUGAAAUGCUUUUCCUAUCUCAAAAUAAGUAACUAUGCUCAGAGAGUAAACUGGGAAGAUAGGUCAUUACUCAGUUCCUCUGGCCCUUGGCACUGAGACCACGAGAGAAGGUACCAGAAUGUACCAUGGUGGGAUUGCGGGGGCAGAGUUCGGCACUGGACAGAGUUGACAGAGUUCCCGUGGCCCUGUGGUUCCCGUGGCCAUAUUUUCCUGAGAUCCUAUUAGAUUUCAAAGUGUUAGUUAUAGCAACUACAUGUUAUUCCAAACUUCUAAAUUUGUAGUUAUUAAAAGAUCUGUGGGAAACAUUUGUAAGUAAAAGUAGUAACUAAAAUAGAAAAAAAAAUUGACAUUACACGUAAUCCAAAUACCACACCCUCACAUACUUGACAUGCUUUACCUAAUGACAAAUCCUUCCAAAUCUUCAGCAGAUAGUAUGUCUUCAACCAAUUUUUCCCCACUGUAAGAUUAACAACAACAAAACCUUUGUAGUACACUUUUAAGUAACAAAAUCAAUCAUUUUGCUUACCAAGGGAAAAGGGAAUCUUCACAAUAUUCAAAUCGUGUCAGUUUUAUGUGUUCCCAAAGGAACAAGUGGUGAAGGGAGACUCCCUUUUUUGUGUGAUUUAAUGUAACCAACAGUAACAGAAGAGACAUUUCUGUGUUUUUUUGUUUGCUGUAAUUGACUGAAUCCAAUGUGAGCUUUGACACCAAGAUGAAAAACAUAGCAGAAAAAGUCAUCUAUUGGCAACCCCACUACCCCCCCAUCCUCCCACCCCAGGCUUUUUUUUGAAUUGUCUAAUUUGUGACCAGCCAGGGAAGAAUAUUUUUCCUUCACGCAAUUUUUUUUAAUUAAACCUUUCUUUAUUUGACAGGUGCUGCUACCUAUGAGGACUACGUGAGAAGCUGCUACCUAUUAGGACUAAGUGAGAAGCAAAACUUCUAAGGAAGUGGGUUUCCUAAAUGUUGUUCCCUUUACUCCCAGAUAACAUGGAUACUCUAGUCUAAAAUAGUUUCCUAUUCCCUUAAUAAAAUUCCAUUAAAAU